ACGGGAGGCAGCAGUGGGGAAUCUUCCGCAAUGGGCGAAAGCCUGACGGAGCAACGCCGCGUGAGUGAAGAAGGUCUUCGGAUCGUAAAGCUCUGUUGAGAGGGACGAGAGAUAACUUCAGGAAAUGGGAGUUAGAGGACGGUACCUUUCGAGGAAGCCACGGCUAACUACGUGCCAGCAGCCGCGGUAAUACGUAGGUGGCGAGCGUUGUCCGGAAUUAUUGGGCGUAAAGGGAGCGCAGGUGGGAAAGUAAGUCAGUCUUAAAAGUGCGGGGCUCAACCCCGUGAUGGGAUUGAAACUACUUUUCUCGAGUGCAGGAGAGGAAAGCGGAAUUCCUAGUGUAGCGGUGAAAUGCGUAGAUAUUAGGAGGAACACCAGUGGCGAAGGCGGCUUUCUGGACUGAAACUGACGCUGAGGCGCGAAAGCGUGGGGAGCAAACAGGAUUAGAUACCCUGGUA
RNAcentral lists this ribosomal RNA (458 nucleotides) under uncultured Anaerovibrio sp. Its description in RNAcentral is "bacterial SSU rRNA". It matches the Rfam family "Bacterial small subunit ribosomal RNA", at positions 341 to 792 of the family's 1533-position model. Lineage: Bacteria; Bacillati; Bacillota; Negativicutes; Selenomonadales; Selenomonadaceae. The record is from RNAcentral.